Molecule: ribosomal RNA, 610 nt
Filed under: uncultured bacterium
Lineage: Bacteria
Description: bacterial SSU rRNA
Rfam family: Bacterial small subunit ribosomal RNA
Source: RNAcentral
CCUACGGGAGGCAGCAGUAGGGAAUAUUGGGCAAUGGAGGCAACUCUGACCCAGCCAUGCCGCGUGCAGGAUGAAGGCGUUAUGCGUUGUAAACUGCUUUUAUAUAGGAAGAAAUAGACCUUGCGAGGUAAGUUGACGGUACUAUAUGAAUAAGCACCGGCUAACUCCGUGCCAGCAGCCGCGGUAAUACGGAGGGUGCAAGCGUUGUCCGGAUUUAUUGGGUUUAAAGGGUGCGUAGGCGGUUUAUUAAGUCAGUGGUGAAAGACGGUCGCUCAACGAUUGCAGUGCCAUUGAUACUGGUAGACUUGAGUGUGAUUGAGGUAGCUGGAAUGGAUAGUGUAGCGGUGAAAUGCAUAGAUAUUAUCCAGAACACCAAUUGCGUAGGCAAGUUACUAAGUCACAACUGACGCUGAGGCACGAAAGUGUGGGUAUCAAACAGGAUUAGAUACCCUGGUAGUCCACACUGUAAACGAUGAUAACUAACUGUUGCUUUUGGGUCAGUGGUACAGAGAAAUCGUUAAGUUANCCACCUGGGGAGUACGCCGGCAACGGUGAAACUCAAAUGAAAUUGACGGNGUGAGACGAGACGAGACGACGACGAGGGAGGAGG